RNAcentral lists this ribosomal RNA (459 nucleotides) under uncultured Streptococcus sp. RNAcentral's name for it is "partial 16S ribosomal RNA". It matches the Rfam family "Bacterial small subunit ribosomal RNA", at positions 341 to 792 of the family's 1533-position model. The record is from RNAcentral. Lineage: Bacteria; Bacillati; Bacillota; Bacilli; Lactobacillales; Streptococcaceae.
ACGGAAGGCAGCAGUAGGGAAUCUUCGGCAAUGGGGGCAACCCUGACCUAGCAAAGCCGCGUGAGUGAAGAAGGUUUUCGGAUCGUAAAGCUCUUUUGUAAGAGAAGAACGUGUGUGAGAGUGGACAGUUCACACAGUGACGGUAACUUACCAGACAGGUACGGCUAACUACGUGCCAGCAGCAGCGGUAAUACGUCGAUCCCGAUCGUUGUCCGGAUUUAUUGGGCGUAAAGCGAGCGCAGGCGGUUUAAUAAGUCUGAAGUUAAAGGCAGUGGCUUAACCAUUGUUCGCUUUGGAAACUGUUAGGCUUGAGUGCAGAAGGGGAGAGUGGAAUUCCAUGUGUAGCGGUGAAAUGCGUAGAUAUAUGGAGGAACACCGGUGGCGAAAGCGGCUCUCUGGUCUGUAACUGACGCUGAGGCUCGAAAGCGUGGGGAGCAAACAGGAUUAGAUACCCUGGUA